Molecule: non-coding RNA, 115 nt
Organism: Triticum aestivum (bread wheat)
Lineage: Eukaryota; Viridiplantae; Streptophyta; Magnoliopsida; Poales; Poaceae
Source: Rfam
AUCGUACUCCCUCCGUUUGAAAUUACUUGUCACAAAAAUGGAUAUAUCUACAACUAAAAUACAUCUAGAUACAUUUAAAUCUUGGACGGGUAAUUCCAAACGGAGGGAGUAUGAU